CAGAGAGUUAUCUGAGUUACUGUUACUGCAUGUGCAUGCAAUAAUUCAUGUGUCAUAGAAGAACAGUGGGGCAGACUGGAGUUCUUUAGAUGCAUUCUUUAAGAAUAGAAAAUCUGAUCUACAAGAUUUUUGCCAAAACUCCUUUCAUCUUGGAUAGUAUCAAAAAGGCAGGUCACUUCUCCCGUGGUGGUCACUCUGGUUAGUAGAAAGCAAAUGAAAUUAUGGCAUCAAUGGAGAAAAAUGAGAAAUGGAGUGUUUGGGUUUUGAUUUUGGAAUGGUUAUAUUUUCCCCCUCCUGCAGCUGAUUUAAUGAGGGUAAUGGUUUUCUUUAGUUUUCCUCUAUAGCUCUGCAGUGCUUAACAGCUUGUUACUGAGGGACCUACACACUUGGUAAUCCAUGGAAAUCCAAGUUAGUGAAAGACAUGGAAAAACAUGUUUAAACAGAUCACAGCUGAAGCUGAGAACUUAAUCUUUCUGUGACAGAAGGUAGCCAGCACAGCCUCAGCUUCACACUAACCAUCAGGAAAGGUUAGUGUGAAGUACCAAGCUUAACUCACUGCUGGAGAAAUGGGAUAGAAAAUCAGGUAACAGCAGUUUAGUUUCACACCUGAGCAUAUGAGAAGUAGCCUCUCUCUGCAAGAGACUGCAGCUUGGCAAAAAUAAUGUCUUUGCAUGGGGGUUUGUUGCUGGCAGUGGCAAAAAUCCUGAUAGAGCAGUAUUUCUCCAAAUGACUUCAGGUAAAAGUCAAAUAUGGAGGGUUCUUAUGCAACAUGAGAGUUCCCCUUUCGAAACAGUGGUUUGGAGAGAAAAAGUCAUUGGUCUGGGUCUAGGACAAAAGUUAAACAAGAUAAACAAGGAUGGACUGCUGCCAUCUUCCCCUUCCCCUUUAUCUCUAAACCUUAACCUUAAACUGCAAGUUUGAGGUUAAUGCAGUGCAGUGUGUCUGCAACUGCUGAAACCAGCUAUGUUUUAAUAGAUCUUAUUUAUUUUGAUGAUGAUGAAGGUCUGAAAGUUCCUCUAGUUUGUUUGGUUAAAUUUAUUUUUUUUUUACCAUCUGCAACUGUGACUAACCCCAAACAGAGCCACUCAUAUGUAGAAGAGGAAAACUUAAUAUUCAUUGAAAUUUCACUGAGGUACUUCUUGGUAAGUCCAAGAUGUUUACUAAGUAAAUUGGAUAGAAUGGUAGUGAUUGUUACAGGACCCCUUAGAGCAUGCUUUCCAUCUCACUUUUCAUCUCUGGUAAGUAGAUUAUGAAUAUAAGAGUCUGCCUUGUAUUGGGAACUCUGACAGGUGAAAAGUGCUCUCUGUUUAUAGCACAUGCAGGGCCCUGACCUCUCUCAUGCUUUUCAUCCCUCAAACUCUGCUAGAUAGUGCUUAAAGAAAUAUGAAGUGCUUGCUGAGACUCGAAAAUGUGACCACGGUAGAAGCUGUGGUUCUCUGAGGGGUCUCAUUUAUUUCCAUAUGGACUUUGGUUUUCCUCAAAAGCAAAAUUUCAGUGUAAGGAUGACCUUGGAAACAGAGGUGUGGGGUGGCUUUUAAAAUUUUCAAGAAGCAUCCAGCAGGACUACAGCUGUGCUAAGGAAAGAAGCCAUCUUCUCUUGGAUUGGACUCCAACCCAACCAGAGGGACGGAAAACAGCUUUCCUUGGAGAGGUCUGGAUUGCUUCUGGCUGAUCCUGGCUGUGCUGCACUGGUUUUAGGGCCACAGCACAUAGGAGAAGUGAGGACAUGAUUGCCAUCAGCUGGGAUGUGCAGGCCAGGUAAUCUGUGCUCUGAGCAUCUCCUGUCCAGAACACCCAUCUACCAACAAAUGUGUGCACUGCACUGCCUCUCAACGUUUGAAACUUCCCCUGUCUCUAAAGGAAAGGCCUCCACAUCCACAGUAUGUGUGGCAUAGGUGUGGGAAUGGCACCACCAGUGGUGUAACAACUCUGAUACUAGGCUGCCACUACAGUUGUUCUGGGAUUAAUGCUGGUACUGAGCUUAGAACUGUUGAAUGAGUCUUGAAACUCCAUUUAUGCAUAAACGACUGCUUAAACCUGGUUAUUUCUUGUUUCCUUGUGCAUGUGGCUUUUCUAGGCUGUCUGCUUUUUCCACAGUAACUUCCGAGCCCUGCUUGGGCAGGGGUUGUCACCUCCCAGCAUAGAGGUCAUAGAUCAUAGAGGUAGGUAUCCUCCAGGCAGGGGUGCUGCAUGCUUUCUAAUCCGGCAAUUAGGAAAAACACCCACCACGAGACAGUUUGCAGUGCUUCACUAAAUAAUUAAUAGAUAUUAAAGUCUCCAGGACUUGGGAAUCAGAUGGAUGCUGACUUUUCAUGCAAUGCUGUAUAGUGUUUAGGCAAAAGGUUAAAAUUAUACCUACUCUAAUAGAAAUCUAUACCAUAACAUGGAGGCAGAAAGACAGACAGAAUUAGUAGCAGUGCUUCCUCCUUUAGCAGGAAUCAAGCUGAGACAGAGAGUUUAUAAAUAUUUUCUUUUUUUGUUUUUUCCUUUCACAUGACUUCUUGUUAGAAGGCUGAAAACAGACUUCUGUUAACUUUCGGUUAUUAAAAUCCAAAGAGCUGUCUGAGAAAGAAAUCGGGGCCUGACAACCCAGCAGGGUAAUGGGAAACUUAAUAAAUAUCCUGUUGUUAUAACA
Parus major (Great Tit) is the source of this 2635-nucleotide long non-coding RNA. NCBI's taxonomy places the organism in Eukaryota, Metazoa, Chordata, Aves, Passeriformes, Paridae. The record is from Ensembl.